CGUAGGGAGCAAGCGUUAUCCGGAAUUACUGGGUGUAAAGGGCGCGUAGGCGGGCAAGCAAGUCAGAUGUGAAAUGCCGGGGCUUAACCUCGGAGCUGCAUUUGAAACUGUUAGUCUUGAGUGAUGGAGAGGCAGGCGGAAUUCCCGGUGUAGCGGUGGAAUGCGUAGAUAUCGGGAGGAACACCAGUGGCGAAGGCGGCCUGCUGGACAUUAACUGACGCUGAGGCGCGAAAGCGUGGGGAGCAAAC
Molecule: ribosomal RNA, 248 nt
Filed under: uncultured Papillibacter sp.
Lineage: Bacteria; Bacillati; Bacillota; Clostridia; Eubacteriales; Oscillospiraceae
Description: partial 16S ribosomal RNA
Rfam family: Bacterial small subunit ribosomal RNA
Source: RNAcentral